GCCUUCUUGGCUCAGUUGGCUAGAGCGCAGGUCUCAUAGAAAUGUGACAUAAGAAUUGUUACGUAAUCCUGAGGUCGCAAGUUCGAGCCUUGCAGAGGGCA
This is a transfer RNA of Termitomyces sp. J132, 101 nucleotides long. It matches the Rfam family "tRNA". From Rfam's summary of the family: Transfer RNA (tRNA) molecules are approximately 80 nucleotides in length. Their secondary structure includes four short double-helical elements and three loops (D, anti-codon, and T loops). NCBI's taxonomy places the organism in Eukaryota, Fungi, Basidiomycota, Agaricomycetes, Agaricales, Lyophyllaceae. The record is from Rfam.